UUUAGGGAAAGUGAGCGGGUAAUUAUAUGACACAUCAAUCCAAUUCUUCUGUUUGCAUUUGCAAAUCUACAGUUCCUUCAGUUGUGCACAGUUUCUGCUCUUCCCUCAAAAGCAGAACCUUUUUCAACCAUGAGGUUUAGGGACAUCCCUGCUCUUCAAAAACCAAGCAGUGUGACUUAGCUGUUCACAAGGAGACUAGGGAGGGCAGGGGAGGGCUAUUUCUGUUUUUCUUUUUGACAGACCCGUGUGUCCCGCUCCUGCAGCUGAGCUCACAGCUGGCCAUUUCUCAAGUAGCCCUUUGUCACGUGUGCCUCCAUGCAGUCUCCGAACUUGGCUAAUGCCAACAUCACUUUCCAACUAAAUCGCUAUAGUUGCAAAGACAGCAAGCGCUGCUGGGGACCGAGGACGGCUGUGAGGAUUAUAGAGAAGUUUUUACGGCUUUGACUGUCAUAAAUAUCUGGUUAUCUGCUGUCAGCGAGCAAGAGGAGGGUUUCUGAGAAAGCACUAGACCCUGGACCAUACUGAAGUGCUCUUUUUAUGAGUGCUUCCUCUUAUCUGAGUUUGUAUAUGGCAUGAACCCCCUUUGGGGUGUGGGGCUCAAUUCCUUGAGAAAUGAAAGCCAAUUGAAAACUUUUUUGGGGCGGGGAAUAGAAUUUAUCUCAGAAAGGUACCAUAAUGACAAAUGUGGGGACACAUGCACUGUGCCGCUCCACAGGGGGUGGAUGUAUGCGAGCUUUUCAAAGGAACAGCAAUGGCAGUGUUUCUAGGUUGAGGCACUUUUUUCAGCCAGUUCAGUAUCCUAGGUGCUUAUUAUCCAAGCUGAGAUGUAGUAAUCGGGAUCAGUUAAUUGCAUGUGUGGAUGUUGUACUAGCACUGAGCGAGUUUCCAAGGUAAGCUGGGUAAAGGAAAAAAGGAAAAAAACAAAACCCUGAAAUAUUAGUCUCUUUGGGAAAGCAAACCAACCAGUGGCUGUUCUACUUGGUAACAGUACUUGCCUAGCAGUUUGCACGCUCGUAUCAGGGAAAUUGAGGACAUUCAGAGAGCAAUUCAGACUUACUCACUGGUUAGGUUCCUAAGUAGGGUGACAAGAAUUACAUGGUUACAGUACUUAUUUUUCCCUCCUACAUAGGGACUGUGGUCUCCUAACGCAGUGACAAACCUAAACUGCCUAAAACCACGCAAGGCGCCUACCCUUGGGCGUCUAAAGCUAUAAAAUACAGACGCUUCCCUCUGCAUUUGACAGACUGGCUGCUCGAUUAACCAGGUAUCCAUGUGUGUAGUAAGCAGCACAGGUACAGGUAGUAGAUCUGGAGCAACUAAGCUUUACAGUCAAGGAAGCAUCUUUGUGGACGAGGGAAGUGAGGUGCAUCUAAAUAGACUUUCACAAGCCAGUUCCUGAAAUCCCUUUAUUUCUGUAGUAAUUUGCAGUUAUCUUUAGGAUGAGUACUUUAAACCUAAAACUUUAUCACUGGUAGCAUGAUAAAAUAAAUACAUAAGCAACACAUGUUAACAGUUUUAGGUUUGGGUUUUUUUUUUUAAUGUUGUACUUUGUACAAAACUUAAGAUUAUAUAAUUAUAGACAGUUAUAUAUUUUCUUCUGUUGGCUGUCACUGAAACCAAAACCUAUACUAAUAGUUCCAUGAGAAUGUAAUGGGAGGUUUAUAUUGGAUAAGGAUCCCAUCCUUUCAAAUUAUUCCUUUAAUUGCAUGUACAGUGAAUUCUCUGCUAAACACCUCUGUAGUAACAAAACACUCUAUCUCAACAGUGAUUUCUGCAGAAAAAAUACCAGGGAGUUGUUUGAGAAAUUGUUUUAACUGAUCAGUCAUUUCUACAUUAAAGACUAUGCAUUGUGAAGCAAUUCAUAAGCAACCUGGGCAGCUGUCUAAUGUACACCAGCGUGGGUAUGGCACAGUGAUUGCAGUGAAUGCUUUCUGGCUAUGCGAGGGAAUGUAAACUAAGCUGUACUUCCAGCUCAAUGAAAAUCACAAUUUCCAGUGAACAGAAUGACAUGCAGUAUUUCUACGGAGAAAUAUUUUUACAGGAAAAAAAAAAAAAAGAAGAAAAAUCAAGGCCCAGGAUAGAAAGACCUUUUACAUAGUCAACUGAUGAGAUUUCAGAAAAGCAGCCUUUCAAAUUGCACAUGUUGUAUAAAUUACUAAUGAUAGAUUUUUCAUUUGUUUGAGUUCUUUUAACAUAUCAGAAAGUAAGAAACAUAGGGCUCUGCACUUCUGAUGUGUCAAGACAAAAACUUCGAAUGAAGUUUUCUGAGCUGCGCGCUUAAGCCUGUUUGUAAAUGUUUUCUAUGUGUUCUUCUUUUUAUUUGCUAAUGCGUUAGUAUGUUUUCAUUUGCAGCACCACUGCCCUGUUGACAAAAAUUUCUUCGUGUUAUACAGCCAGCGUUAUUAGUGACAAAAUCCAAGAAACAGAGGAGACCUGUCCACUGUGAUAAGAUACAGGUGAUAAUCUAAAAGAAUUCACAAAGGAGCUCCAAACAAAAUUUUCCAUGGCAAGUCCUGACUUUCUUACUGUGAAUUGUCUAAAGCAGUAUCUAUGAAGAUCAUUCACAUUUAACAUGAAUCCUUGAGGACAAAGUUAAGAGUCUGGUUUUGAAACAAAUGCCACGCAUUUUUUUUUUCCUGCUGCUUACCUUUGGUGCCACACUUACAGCACAACAAUGAAGUUAUCAGGUAUGUGAAUGGCUUUUAACUUUUUCCAUACUGACAACCUCCUGUCCUAUCUAUGAAUGGGGGAAGAGGCAGUUUGGAGCCACAUGCUCUGAGAGAUGGAACCAAACAGUGUUUAGUUAGCUUGUGAGAAGUGAGGGGUGGGUGGACUUGCAUAGCAGCCAUAUUGCUGAUGCUAGAUAAAAUAUAGUUACAAGCUUCUGUGCAAGUCCCUCCUCUGUGUAUUAUAAAUCAUACAAUCCUGCAUUCAAAUGGUAAUCAUUAAAUGGAAGAAAAAAAAUUUAGAACUUUGGGUUUGAGGGGAUGGAGUAAAUAAGUAUUCAUAGAACAGAAACUGGAGUGAAUUUCAUUGAUUGUGUGCUAUAAGAUGUAGAGCUAAAUAAUUCUAUUGAACAAGCAAUAAGAUUUGGCUGCUACUGACAUUUACUGUACAAGAAAAUAAAACACAUUCUAUUAUAUAUAUUUUUAUAUAUUUUCUUAUAGUUGUGAAGAAGAUGAAAAGACAGAAAAGCCAAAAGUAUAUCAGACUGAAUCUAAAAGCCAAAUCGUGGUCUUGCUGAAUUCAGUAGGUCCAGCUGUACACCCUAUUCCUUCAUACCUUGUUAUUAAGCACAAAGCACAAUGAGUAUAAAUGAGGAGUGCUUUGCUUCAGUCUCUGACUUUUUUGCCUUUGAUUCUGUCUUUAAUUUUAAAUGUAUUGAGUCCUCCUUCAUGUUCAAAAAUAAGACAGGAAAAUAAUAUAAAAGGCUUAAUAAAAGUGACAAAGAGCUAAUGGAAGCAAUUGGAAUGACUUCUGUGUUGCUCUGCAUACCUACAACACAAGCAGCCUUUUAAAAGGGCGCAUUAUAUGCUGCAGGGUAAUUAUAAUCAAUCAGUGCACUCAAGUUUAUGCAUACUAUGGAACUUUUUAAAUAACGCUACUGUGACACACAUCACAAUAUUCAGACUUUGUCAAUAGAGAGGCUGCAGCUCUUUUAAAUCUGAGCCUUGUUUGUGUAUUGUUGUAUGCAGUAUGAGCAGAGGUUUGAAAUCGGAUUGUGUUGCUAAUGCUUUAAGCACCAUAUCAUCUGUUCGGUGGCUUAUGUGAAGAGAGUUAAUACCAUCAAAUAUAGGAAAUAGUCCAGUUCAGACCAUCAGCAAUUUGCACUACUCUUACACUGCCAAUGGAGAUGUUACUGUUUAUGCAAUGGCAGUUUGAAUGUUACUGCUGAAUGUUGCUGUUGCGGUGACUGGGAUUUACAAAUAGAGUAUUGCUCAAACUGCCUAUAUCUUCUUUUUGAAACCAAGGCAGUUUAUCUUGUAAAGAUGCCUAAACCAUGGUAAAUGAUCAGAGGAAACCAGAAAGGGUGACUUGUCUUCAGUCUUUCUACUGUUUAUCAAUUUUCUUUCUUCUGUAGGUUUUGCUGAAGUCUAGCCAUCUAAGGGCUCAGCAUGCGUUAUUAGGAGACUUGCAGGAUGAGGGUUGUGGUCUCUCAUCUCCCUGCACCAGCAUCAGGUAAAUUGAUGCGAGUUGCCCUCUGUGGGAGCUCUGUUGCACAACGGUUUGCACCUGAGCCUUCACGACUGCUGUCUCUGUGUUAAUUUUUAAUGGCAGGGACUGCUACCAAUAGACUUGUCUGUCUUUUAUCUGUCUUAAAAAAAUCAAUGUUUUAUUAAUGUGUUCAUCACUCUGUUAUGCUGCUUUUCAGUGCUGGAAACUCAGAGCUGUCAGCAGGAGCACCUGUGAGUACAACUGUUAUAAUAAACCAUGGCAAGAACUUACACUAACGGUACGUCUAACUUGGAAUUGCUUCUAUGCAGGUAAGAAGAGAAAAGAGUGGAGGGAGGGAGGAACAAACUUAUACCACCUCUCCAGCUCUCUAAGAACAGGACUGUUUACUGGUCUGUCUCGGCUCAGGAAGUGGAGCAUGAGACCUUGGUGAUUACAACCCCAAGAAUAAGUCUCUUGUUCAAGGCAGAGGUGUCUUGUGUAUUCUUGGGCUACUCACUCAGUUAAACCUCUGUCUUGGGUUGAGGUCUGCUAACAUUUGUGGCUUGUUGGUAUGGCAAUAAAAUCCGUUGGUGGUGGUUAGGUUGCUGUGAUAGCGAGUGAUUGGGAUGCCAUGUAAAAUACACAGAAGUAAUGUAUUACUUUCAACUUAGCUGGCACAAGUAAAUGCCUGACACUACAGCAGUUGCUGCAUAAAGGUAGGCAUAGGAUUUUGAAAGGUACUUGCUGUUUCACAGAACAGACUGUCCUAAGCGUGUCUCCCCAAAACAUGGAGUAGUUUGGGCCUGAGGGUGAGAAGACUGCAGGAAAUCAGUGAGGAGAAAAAAGCUAAGCAGUGAGAGUAGGGAUUGUCAAUGGUGCAGGUCCAGGAAAGGAUUACUUACUGGUGUUUGGGAUCUUGCUGUACAGGCUAUGAGCUGGAAGAGUCCAGCUUUCCUGCUGGAAAGUGCCUUUAAAUCAAGGUAAGCAAAGCAUCACUUGUAGCUGAGACCUGCUGUUGUAAGCACUAAAGGGUACAGGGUGAUGUGUGCCUGAACUUGAUGCAUGCCUCUAGUCUGUCACAGUAGGAAUGGCUGCAAUGGGCACCUGGGAGGUCUAUCUGUUUCAAGCAAGCUGGCUGCAGGCAGUGGGCCAGAUGAAUUGCUCUGUUAGCCUGUUCCCUGCUGUCUGCUUUCUCCAGGAUGCUUCUGCCAGUCCUUAUCACAUAGACAUAUGCACAUUAUCUGGUGCUGCUUGCUGGUGGGAAAUUCUUUGCAACUUGUUUGACUGAUAAGAAGCAUCUGAUUCUUAACCUCAUAGCCAGAGUUCAUACAGAAGGGUACUACAUAAAAUUACUUGUUACCAGUGCACGUGGAAGAAAUCAGGCAACCGUGGGCUGUUUUCUGGCAAAGGAAAGUUACGACUUUGAUUUCUGCAAAUUCCACAAAAUGUGAGGGAUAUUCAAGCCAACUGCCCUUGAAGCCAGAAGGAGGGAGAUGGCUAUGAAAGGCAGAACUGAGAGUGACUCCACUUCCAACAAAGACUGACGUGCCUUGGCUGUCAUAAGCAAGCAGCUAAAAAAAUUCUAAGCAUAAAAACAUCUGAAGUCUUAAUAACUCUAGAAAAGAUGACCAAUGUGCAAAAGACUUAUCCUCAGCAAGCCAAACUCUAUCAUAUCUGCAGGUGAUGAUAUCCCAGAGUAAAUUAAUGAAAUGGUGACAUUCAGGGAAGGAACAGCUGACAGAUUUGUGUGGAUCUUCAAGUGUGGAAAUGAGUGAUAUUUUCCAGACUAACUUGAAACAGGAAUGAUUAAAAAAAAAAAAAA
Non-coding RNA from Struthio camelus australis, 5977 nucleotides. The record is from RefSeq and is a predicted model, not a curated record. Lineage: Eukaryota; Metazoa; Chordata; Aves; Struthioniformes; Struthionidae.